GCAAGUCGAGGGGCAGCAUUUACUUCGGUAAAUGGCGACCGGCGCACGGGUGAGUAACGCGUAUGCAACCUACCUUUAACUGGGGCAUAGCUCGAGGAAACCCGAAUUAAUUCCCCAUAGUACAUUAUAAUAUCUCAUGAUAUAAAUGUUAAAGAUUUAUCGGUUAAAGAUGGGCAUGCGUCUGAUUAGUUUGUUGGUAAGGUAACGGCUUACCAAGACUACGAUCAGUAGGGGGUCUGAGAGGAUGAUCCCCCACACUGGUACUGAGACACGGACCAGACAUCUACGGAUGGCAGCAGUAAGGAAUAUUGGGCAAUGGGCGCAAGCCUGACCCAGCCAUGCCGCGUGCAGGAUGACGACCCUAUGGGUUGUAAACUGCUUUUAUAUAGGAAGAAAAUACUCUUGCGAGAGGCUCUGACGGUACUAUAUGAAUAAGGACCGGCUAACUCCGUGCCAGCAGCCGCGGUAAUACGGAGGGUUCAAGCGUUUUCCGGAUUUAUUGGGUUUAAAGAGUGCGUAGGUGGUUUAUUAAGUCAGUGGUGAAAUCCUGCAGCUCAACUGUAGAACUGCCAUUGAUACUGGUAAACUUGAGUUUGGUUUAGGUAAGCGGAAUUUAUGAUGUAGCGGUGAAAUGCAUAGAUAUCAUAAGGAACACCAAUAGCGAAGGCAGCUUACUGGACCACAACUGACACUGAGGCACGAAAGCGUGGGUAGCGAACAGGAUUAGAUACCCUGGUAGUCCACGCCGUAAACGAUGCUCACUCGAUGUUAGCGAUAUACUGUUAGCGUCCAAGCUAAAGCGUUAAGUGAGCCACCUGGGGAGUACGCCGGCAACGGUGAAACUCAAAGGAAUUGACGGGGGCCCGCACAAGCGGUGGAGCAUGUGGUUUAAUUCGAUAAUACGCGAGGAACCUUACCUAGGCUAGAAUGCGAGUGACAUCCA
RNAcentral lists this ribosomal RNA (943 nucleotides) under uncultured marine bacterium. RNAcentral's name for it is "bacterial SSU rRNA". It matches the Rfam family "Bacterial small subunit ribosomal RNA", at positions 57 to 1000 of the family's 1533-position model. The record is from RNAcentral.